RNAcentral lists this long non-coding RNA (586 nucleotides) under Heterocephalus glaber (naked mole-rat). Its description in RNAcentral is "lncRNA (ENSHGLG00100047336.1)". The record is from RNAcentral. Lineage: Eukaryota; Metazoa; Chordata; Mammalia; Rodentia; Bathyergidae.
GGACUGUGUCCCUUGGACCUGUGAGGGGAUUUCUUCUCUGGCCUACCACCAUCAGACCCGGGAAAAUUCCUGUCCUGCCUGCUGCUCCUGGACUUUUGGUGAUUAACUAGCCCAGCCCACUGGACAUUCUGAGCAUAUCCUGGAGGUCUUCCUCUUGUGCCUGCUGCAACGGUACUCUUUUUGUGCUAGUAUUUUCUUCUUGGCAGCCUACUUUGCUGACCCUCUGCAUCUUCACAUUACCAAGUGGUCAGCGCUCCGCAGAUGAACCAGUGCACCAACCAUGAAUCAAUCAAAACAGCAAUGAGACUGAAAUGGAACGGUGUUUCUACUAUUUAUUUAGAAGAUUUUUUUGAAGAACAGAUGAAACUAGCCCAGAAAAAGAACAACAGAGUGAAGAAAGAGAAGCGUCCCUGUUGAUUGCCACCAUCGUGCAAAGACUGGGAGAAAGGUGUGACCGAAGGAAGAGUCCCAUUGUUUUGUGUCCCAUCCUAUUAUGAUCAGUUACAUUGCAAGUUUCCCAUUUGUAUUUAAUGUUUUUGUAGCUGAAACGCUGAAGUCUGUAAGGAGAAGUCUGCAUAUGCUUGGA